This 497-nucleotide ribosomal RNA is filed under the name uncultured bacterium. RNAcentral's name for it is "partial 16S ribosomal RNA". It matches the Rfam family "Bacterial small subunit ribosomal RNA", at positions 28 to 507 of the family's 1533-position model. The record is from RNAcentral.
GAUGAACGCUGGCGGCGUGCCUAAUACAUGCAAGUCGAGCGAACAGACGAGGAGCUUGCUCCUCUGACGUUAGCGGCGGACGGGUGAGUAACACGUGGAUAACCUACCUAUAAGACUGGGAUAACUUCGGGAAACCGGAGCUAAUACCGGAUAAUAUAUUGAACCGCAUGGUUCAAUAGUGAAAGACGGUUUUGCUGUCACUUAUAGAUGGAUCCGCGCCGCAUUAGCUAGUUGGUAAGGUAACGGCUUACCACGGCGGCGAUGCGUAGCCGACCCGAGAGGGUGAUCGGCCACACUGGAACUGAGACACGGUCCAGACGCCUACGGGAGGCAGCAGUAGGGAAUCUUCCGCAAUGGGCGAAAGCCUGACGGAGCAACGCCGCGUGAGUGAUGAAGGUCUUCGGAUCGUAAAACUCUGUUAUUAGGGAAGAACAAAUGUGUAAGUAACUAUGCACGUCUUGACGGUACCUAAUCAGAAAGCCACGGCUAACUACGUG